This 2102-nucleotide long non-coding RNA is filed under the name Equus asinus (donkey). RNAcentral describes it as "lncRNA (ENSEASG00005032962.1)". The record is from RNAcentral. Lineage: Eukaryota; Metazoa; Chordata; Mammalia; Perissodactyla; Equidae.
GUUAGAGAGGAGGGCAGCGUGGCUAGAAGGAGCUUGGCAGCAGAGUCAGGGAGGGAGGAGAGCGGAGGGCAAGACCAGGGCCAGGGGCAGGGCAACAGCGUUAGGCAGCUCUCGUUAUUGCUGUGUGACAACCUUUCCCCAUCUUUACGGGCUUAACCAACGAACGUUGAUUAUGUCACAGUGGCACUGGACCAGGAAUCCAGCAGCGCUCAGCUGGGAGCCUCUGCCAGAUGCUCUCAGGGAGUCAGGCUGUGCUCUGAACUGAGGCAGGAUCUGCUUCCCUCCCCCUCUGAGCGCACUCUGGGUCCUGGAGGGACCCCUUGCGACUGGAGGCCUGAGUGCCCCUCUGUCGGUGGGUCUCCUUCAGGGCCAGGCCUCAGCAGCCUCUCUAGAGCACAACCCAGAACACACAGGCCUGUUCCCCAGAGUGAGGGAUCAGAGAGAGAGAGAGAACAGCUGAGAGUGAGCAGGAGGAGAGCCCUGGACUGUUUGGGUCCCAGUCUCAGAACUGGCUUCGCAUCACUCUGCCCUGUUCCACGGAGUAGAAGGGAAUCACGAACUUCAGGCCACACUCAAGGGGAGUGGAUUCCAGCAGCAUGUGUAGACCGAGCAGAGGGGAUCACAGGAGGCCAUUGAGGGAGAAGGAGAAGACCUCACAGGCUCAAUGCCCUGGACAGAAUCACAGUCUAGUUCAAGGUGGAGCCAGGUGUGAACCCAGCUCUGUAGCCUCAAGGAUGGGGCCCUGGCUGCUCCCAGGCUUCCUCAGGGGGCUCUGAAAAGGUGGUGCUGCUCUAACUGCAGUCAAAAAUGGGGAGGGCAGGGGGCUGAGACUGAGAAGUCGGCAGCCUGGUCGUGCAUUUGGCAAGUUUCUGCCUGAGGAUGAGCCCAGGGCAGGCGAACACUUGAGUGUUCCCCAUCCAUGUCACGCCUAGGGUGGAGGGAGCAGGGGCCACCUUUGCUGAGCUCAUGCUUAUGCACUUCUGAACUCAAUCCCACACUGGAGAAUUGGGAAACUGAGGCCCAUAAACAGGUAUUUUCCCACUCGGGCCUGACGGCAUCUCCAAGAACUAUGGGCUAGGAUAAUCCCCCCCACGCAGACUGGAGGCAGAAAGGCCCCGCGAGGCACCAUGGCUUCUCCAGGAUGAGGAACAGGGAAGAAGGAGCACUUGUGUCUGCGUCUGUCUCAAAGCUGGGACCCUGGCUGCACCCAGACCUUCUCGGAGGCCUGUGGAGACAGGUGGUUUGGGGAUCCUGGGGACACAUAUGAUACUGCAUGGAAAAGGGGGCGAGCAGUGCCCCGCCCAGAGGACUGCUUGCAUGGGUGGUAUCCGAGGAGGGGGCUCAGAUCACCGUGGUUUCCAGGCAAUGAUGUAACCUCUUUCACAACAAUGCCCACAGUGCAGGGGCCUCCUGUAAAGAGGCACCCAGAUCCUCACACUCAGCUCACUUGGCUGGACACAGCUGCUACGGAAAGAUGUUUUCCUGCUGUAUCCUGCCUCACAGCGUCUAUGGUCCCCAGACGACCCGGAGCCAAAACCUUUUUACUCGUUUUAAAGGGUGGCUCACCUCUCAUACUCCACACCUAUGGCCGUUUGCCAGGAGGUCAUCAAAGGUAACACGAGGGGGCCUACAUCGGGCUAUCCAGCUCAGGCCACUUCUGUGAGCCCCCACUGAACGGCCCCCACCCUCUCCCUUCCGUGGGGGGGAUCCUGACUUGGCGGGAACUGCUGGGUGUACAGCUGAUCACCUGGUGCUGCUGCCAUCUUCACAUCCCAGGACAGGGCUGGCACCAUAGAAAGGGGAUUCCCAAGUUGCCUCUUAACUGGGCCAAGUUUCCUUCAAUUCUUUUUCUGAUGGGAGUAACCUUCGUUUAUAGCAUUACGUAGUUUCAGGCUUUCAGCAUUAUAUUGCGAUUUCUGUGUAGAUGACAUCGUGUUCACCACAUAACGACUAAUGACAAUCCAUCACCACACACAUUUGCCUAAUCACCCCUUUUCACCCUCUUCCCUCCCCACUUCCCCUCUGGAACCCCCAAUCCAAUGCCUAUCUCCUGUGAUUCUUUGCUGCCGUCAUCCCUGAUUUAUGAGAGUAGUCACAAGGCU